GUUUAUUGUAAAGUAAAGCACAAGGUGAAAAAUGGCAAAACAGAACUAAAGUUAAUCUAAACUGGGAAAAACUAGUGAUGUGACGUUGUGUAUCGAGGCUUCAAAGCUUGUGUCGACUAAUGGAGGGGGCGUUUCCGCGACGCGCGUAUCGAGGCUUGCUUCAUUUAUGGGAGGAGCUGAAAAUGAUGACGUCCGAAGCCUCGCUGCCCGGCUGUACCACGUGACUGGUUCAUGAAGUGGUUCGAACUUUGCCGCGAGCUAUGACAGCGAUAUAAACCCCUCAGACUUCAUUCAAAAAUGUGGGUGUUUGAUGGAGAGUUGUGGUUAGUGAGAGUUUGGAGACAGUUUGGAGGUUUAGGAGAGUGAGGAGAGAAAGUCAGGAGAGAAUGGAGCCAGCUAAGAAGAGGAGGAUGUCCUCCCCUGUGUGGGAACAUUUUGAUCUUAUUCUUCCCAACAAGGUAUGUAAAUUUCUACAGAAGAUGUAUUUUCAUAAUACUGAUGGUGCAAUACAAUUUAUGUUAAGCUGUCUUUACUUUUGUACAAGGUGAAGUGUUUGCUAUGUGCCAGGGAGCUGGGAUAUAACAACAACACCUCAUCCAUGCUCAGGCACUACAGAGCUUUGCAUGAGAAUAAGGGGAACACCGAUUGUGGAGCAAGACCAGGAGAACAAUCUCAAAUAGAUGAAGACCUGGUUAGCAUGGUGAUUGAGGACUCCCAGCCAUUUAGCAUUGUGGAGGACAAAGGAUUUAAAAGAUUUGUUAAAUCAUUAAAUCCUAGCUAUGUUCUCCCCACUAAAAAGGUCAUAAAAGCAGUGAAAAUUUAGUUUUUACAGAAUAAAAUGUGAACAGACAGGACUGAGGCUCAAAGCCUCAGUGUGUAGCUGUCCAUACCUCAAAGUUACAAAAGCACAACCACUGUCCAUACCCCAACCACACCUCACCUCACUGUAAAUGAUCAUUUCCAUUUUAAGCAUUUCCAAAUGAUAAUUUUCCAUACUGCCAGUAUAAAUAUACACAGUAUACUGCCAUCACUACAAUAUACAUGUUUUACACACUCCUUUUGUUGUUGACAUUUACAGGCUGUGUGCAAAAUGCCACACUCUUCAAAUUCAUGCCAACUAAUAUUUUUCCGUCCAGUAGAUGUCCUACUAGAGCAAAUGAAGCUUCAAGAAGCUUUGUGCUGGGGUGAACCAAUUGGAUGAAAAGCUUCAGUGCUUCAUGAAGCUUCAUCUGCCCAUCACUAGGAAAAACUAAACUACUAAACAGCAAACAUGAAGGAAGGUGAGCAGAUGCAUAAGAAGGUGGAUGGCAGGGAAACACACAGAGAAUACACAGGAGACUUACAGACAGAACAGCGACUAGUACAUGAAUAGACACGAGUUAAAUACAAACAGAAGAACACAGGGAGAUUACACACAGGUGGGGAACACAGCUGGACGUAACUGACAAGACGAGACAGGGGAAGCAAAACUGAAUUCACUCACAUGAGACACGGAUCUUCACAAUAAAACAGGAAACAAGAAACAAUUCACAAGGCCUUAAGCAGCUGCGCGCUCCCGAUCACUUUCUAGCACAACACCUGGAGCUAAGGGGGCAAAACAAUGGCAUGAGUGCUGCUGUUUGACUGAGGAAGAAUAAAGUAGUCGUGGUAAGCCAAUCACAUGACCACUUCAAGACAAAGCAACAAGGUGAUAUAUACCAGUUUAUAAAUUGUGUUGAUAGGCCACGUAAAACCAGAGUCAUGAUAAACAAUAAAUACGCGGCGUUUUUUCCUCAAUAGUUUUGUCACGUUUACUGUCUAAGGACAGGGCUAGCAAGCACUCACUGCUUAUGAGAGAAAAAAACAAAAACAAAAAAAGGAAAGUUUUAGUAGUGACGGCAAGAGGGAGAGAGAGAGAGAGAGAAAGUUUUGAAAUGUGAGAGAUUUGUGACGUUUAGCGUGUUUGGAGUGUGUAGUUAAUGUGUUGUCUUGUGUAGUUAGUGUGUAGUGUUGUGGAUAGUUUUGUGUUGUGUGUCAGAACAAUGAGGCGACUGCUGUCUCCAGGUAGAAAAAGGAGUGAUACACCUGCUGCAGUCAGGCCUGCAGGUAUCAGGCUGUGAUGUUCUCCUUUAUAGUGGACAGAAAUAAUUUUUUUGGAGUGGCACAAAUAAUUUGUGUGGCAUCUUAUUGAAUGCGGAACACCUGAUUGUUCUGUAAAUAGUUUGAAAUGGUUAUUUAAAAAAUCAAGGUAAAAGGUAAAUGGAUGCAAAUAAAUUUGUUGUUUGCAAAACUUGUGCAUAGGAUUUUAAAAUUGACAAUUAAUAUUUGCAUUUAAAGUUAUGAAAUAUGAUUCAUUAAACAUGUUUGUGGUUGUUACAGUAAAAAAUAUAACUUUCUACUCUGAUUUUAUGUUUUUUGUCUGAUUUUAGAUCAAUUGUGUUAAUACAGUAUGUCAAAAUGAAAACAUAACUGUAAAUUCAGACACGUGAGGUUGUGCUAUACUUGUAGUCAAGACCGCCUAAUCCGAGACCAAGACAAGACCAAGACCACGUUGAGACGAGAUCAAGACCGAGACCAAGUCAAGACAAAAAAAGUCUUUAAACUGCAGCCAGAUGCUGCUACGUUUACAGGUGUCAGGCAUAUUUAUGUGUUUCUGCACUCGCACAGCCCUCCUCACCGCUGUCUACUGUCUCACUCACUUACUGAGAGGACAGACGGAUGCUCCACUUGACUGUCGCGUCUCUCACCCUCUCUGUUUUUCACAUAAUGAUAUUAUCCUAUAUCCUCGCAUGUGAUUGGCCACAAUAUGGAGGGAUUGGAGCAUAGCUGAGCCACUGUGUGAGAGCUGAGCAGCGAAAGGAAAUUAAGUGAGGGUAGAACAGGGGCGGAUCUAGAAGGGUGGCAUGGGGUGGCAACUGCCACCCUAAAAUGAUCCCUUGCCACCCCAAGUGCCACCCCAGUUUUGCAUAUGACAGUGUUGUUUAUUAAAAUAAGAUAGCAUUAACAGUUUGAGCGUAGUUACAGUCAACAGUGAAUAUAAAUGCUAAAACUGAAUAUAUUGCAUAGUGUUCCCCCCCUCCACCAUUAACAAAUGGUUCAGCCCAUAGCAGGACCGGCUUUUUUCUUGUUAUCAGUAGCAAGUGAUGUUUAUGAUUGUGCCAGAGCACAUUUUGAACAACACCAUGGGAAUUUCGGAUUUUACACAGGUGGUUGGAUGUUACACUCUGGAAAUGGAAGGAAGGUGAGUGUUAUUAACCCUCUGUGGUCCAGGGACACGCUGCACCUCCAAAUCACAUGACUGAUGUAAGCUGACAUAGCAACAAGCUGCAGCCACGCUGAGUCUCUGUUUCAGCCCACAUUGAAAGUUCAGACUUCAAAGUUUUUAAAUUUUAAUUACAGGCCAGUAAAUCCAUAGUUAUGAUAAUAUAUAUAAUCCAUGCUUUUUUCUAAAUACUGUCGUCACGUUUUUUAUGUGUGUGUGUGUAUUUUAAGCGUUUUCUAAGGACUGCGCAAAAACAGUAAAGAAAGGAAAAGAAGCCACCUCUUUCCUAUCGGUGGAAAAAUGUACCAUGUCAACCAAUUUUUAAAAAAGUCAACACGUGGGAUUUGGUUGUUUAGGGAGAGGGGAGAGUUUUUAGAGUGACGGUAACGGCAGCGAGACAGAGCGAGCGAGUGAGAGAGAGAGAAAGAGAGAGAGAGAGCGAGCGAGCGAGCGAGUUUUUAGAUGUGGGAGAUUUGUGACGUUUAGUGUGGAGUGUACAGUUAGUGUGUUGUGUUGGCUUGUGUAGCUGUUCUGUUGUGUAGUCGUUUUGUUUUGUGUGUCAGUGAGGGAACUAAUGAAUGUCACUAAGGCACAUUUGCAACGUAAACACUGUCACUAAGUAGAAAACCAGCGGAGUGAUACACCUGCUGUUGUCAGGCCUGCAGGUUUAUCCCUGUGCUGUUCUUCUCUGUCUUUUGGUGGACAAACUUUUUUUUUACUGGCACACAUCAUUUGUGGGGCAUCUUAUUGCAACACCUGACUGUUCUCUCAUUUUAGUUUUAGUAAUAUUUUAAAUGGUUGUACAAAAUAAAAGAAACAGCAGGUGUAUUGGCUGCAUUUUUAGAUAAAUAGUUGUAUAUGUUUACAAAAUUUACAAUUUAUAUUUGCAUUUCAAGUUCUAAAAAUUUACUCAACAUGUCUGUGGGUUUUUUUCACAGUAAAAAAAAUACUACUAGGAUUUUAAGUUCUUUGUGUGAUUUCAGAUCAGUAAUACUAAUGCAGUAUGUCAGUGAAAAAAACAACUAAAUUCAGUUGAGCUGAAAAGAAUGAUACCAAACAAGGCAAGAGGAAAAAAAUAAAAUGAAACAAUUUGAGGGUGAAAUACAAACGUAAACUCAAAAGGAGUCAAACAUGGUCGGUUGUAUUUCAGACCUCAGUGGGUUAAUCCAACAAAUCAUGAAAAAUUAGGUUUAAAUUUUUGUUCAUGACAGUGCAGAUUUCUGACAUUUUGUGUAAUUUAAGCUGUAACAACGUGAUUGUUUUCUAACAAAAAACAGUGUGAAACUUAAGUUAGACUUGUGUUUGUAAAUGAACCGCCCCAUGUUGUGUAGCUUUCUGGAUUUUAUACUUAUUGGGCUACAUGUUUAUUUAUUAUACAGGCUAUACAGUACAUAAGAUCAAAACUCACAUGUUUUAUGUAACUAAAGUGUGUAAUUAUGUGGGCUACAGACAAUAAUUAAGUUAUAGACUAUAUUUAUAUGAAAAACGUGUAUACUUACUGCAUUUGAAUCAUUAUAACCAUAUGUAACCACCUGCAUAUGUGUUUGGGGAAAAAAGGCUUUGAUUUUGCCACCCCAUUUGAUUUCUUUGCCACCCUCAUGCCACCCUGAGAAAAUUUCUCUAGAUCCGCCCCUGGGGUAGAAAUGACUGAAAGAUUAUAAGGCUCUGUUUUGAGUUUUGUUCAAAAAAGAAUGACUUCAUAUAGGAAAAAAUAAAUAUCACCUUAAACUAGUUUUUAAUUGGGCUGUAUCAAGACACAGUGACUAAACCCCAAUUCAACCAAACCCAGAACUGAUCCGGAAUUAAAACAGGACUACAACAGUUCA
RNAcentral lists this long non-coding RNA (5067 nucleotides) under Oreochromis niloticus (Nile tilapia). RNAcentral describes it as "lncRNA (ENSONIG00000037475.1)". Lineage: Eukaryota; Metazoa; Chordata; Actinopteri; Cichliformes; Cichlidae. The record is from RNAcentral.